Aricia agestis (brown argus) is the source of this 84-nucleotide small nucleolar RNA. Lineage: Eukaryota; Metazoa; Arthropoda; Insecta; Lepidoptera; Lycaenidae. The record is from RefSeq and is a predicted model, not a curated record.
CAUAAAUGAUGACUUGCCAUGCUAAUACCGAGGAAGUAUUGACUUUCGCUGAGUUCAAUGAACAAUAAUGAAAUCCUGAUAUGA